Bufo bufo (common toad) is the source of this 511-nucleotide long non-coding RNA. RefSeq lists it as uncharacterized. The transcript is spliced from 4 exons. The record is from RefSeq and is a predicted model, not a curated record. Lineage: Eukaryota; Metazoa; Chordata; Amphibia; Anura; Bufonidae.
GGGAUAAAUCAUACUUUCAGAAAAACAAGACGCUCCUGUGCUGUUUAGAAGCAGUUGUUUCAUCAGGUUCAUGGUCUUGGCCAACUCUGCCCACCCCUCCCCCCAUUUCUUGUGAGCUGUCUUCGGAGUCUCUUAUCAGGGACGGAUCUUGCCUGACAACAGACUGUGAACUGCAGCUUAGGUGGAGAAGCAGCAGAUCUUUAAGAAAAUACGUCCAGAGAUAGGACUUCCUAAUCCCAUUGGAUGAUCACAUAAAAACACAAUCAUCUUGCAGAUCACAUCCAGUACCGGUUGCUGGAACGCCGUUGUGAAGUAAAGUUGGAGACUUGAGCCUAAUGUGGGGAAGAAGAGACUUAUUCAAGGGAUACAUCCACUAUUUUCAACUAAAAGAGCUAGCAAAUAAUACAUGCCAACCCACUGACAUCUACAGAAAGGUUUAACAUUCCAUGCAAGAACAAAAGGAACUUAUGAUGUUGGAAAUUCAUUUGGGGCCUAAGCCUGUGGUGUGGUA